Molecule: ribosomal RNA, 761 nt
Filed under: Salmonella enterica subsp. enterica serovar Stanley
Lineage: Bacteria; Pseudomonadati; Pseudomonadota; Gammaproteobacteria; Enterobacterales; Enterobacteriaceae
Description: partial 23S ribosomal RNA
Rfam family: Bacterial large subunit ribosomal RNA
Source: RNAcentral
CCAGACCGCCAGCUAAGGUCCCAAAGUCAUGGUUAAGUGGGAAACGAUGUGGGAAGGCCCAGACAGCCAGGAUGUUGGCUUAGAAGCAGCCAUCAUUUAAAGAAAGCGUAAUAGCUCACUGGUCGAGUCGGCCUGCGCGGAAGAUGUAACGGGGCUAAACCAUGCACCGAAGCUGCGGCAGCGACACUGUGUGUUGUUGGGUAGGGGAGCGUUCUGUAAGCCUGUGAAGGUGUGUCGUGAGGCAUGCUGGAGGUAUCAGAAGUGCGAAUGCUGACAUAAGUAACGAUAAAGCGGGUGAAAAGCCCGCUCGCCGGAAGACCAAGGGUUCCUGUCCAACGUUAAUCGGGGCAGGGUGAGUCGACCCCUAAGGCGAGGCCGAAAGGCGUAGUCGAUGGGAAACGGGUUAAUAUUCCCGUACUUGGUGUUACUGCGAAGGGGGGACGGAGAAGGCUAUGUUGGCCGGGCGACGGUUGUCCCGGUUUAAGCGUGUAGGUGUGUGUUCCAGGUAAAUCCGGUUCACUUUAACACUGAGGCGUGACGACGAGGCACUACGGUGCUGAAGCAACAAAUGCCCUGCUUCCAGGAAAAGCCUCUAAGCAUCAGGUAACAUCAAAUCGUACCCCAAACCGACACAGGUGGUCAGGUAGAGAAUACCAAGGCGCUUGAGAGAACUCGGGUGAAGGAACUAGGCAAAAUGGUGCCGUAACUUCGGGAGAAGGCACGCUGACACGUAGGUGAAGUGAUUUACUCAUGGAGCUGAA